This 273-nucleotide ribosomal RNA is filed under the name uncultured bacterium. Its description in RNAcentral is "partial 16S ribosomal RNA". It matches the Rfam family "Bacterial small subunit ribosomal RNA", at positions 524 to 796 of the family's 1533-position model. The record is from RNAcentral.
UACGGGGGGAGCAAGCGUUGUUCGGAAUCACUGGGCGUAAAGGGCGUGUAGGCGGUUCGGUAAGUGGGAUGUGAAAUGCCCCGGCUCACCCGGGGACCUGCAUCCCAAACUGCUGAGCUUGAGUACAGGAGAGGGUGGGGGAAUUCCAGGUGUAGCGGUGAAAUGCGUAGAUAUCUGGAGGAACACCGGUGGCGAAGGCGCCCACCUGGCCUGCUACUGACGCUGAGGCGCGAAAGCUAGGGGAGCAAACGGGAUUAGAAACCCCCGUAGUCC